RNAcentral lists this ribosomal RNA (361 nucleotides) under Bacilli bacterium BC6. RNAcentral's name for it is "bacterial SSU rRNA". It matches the Rfam family "Bacterial small subunit ribosomal RNA", at positions 952 to 1314 of the family's 1533-position model. The record is from RNAcentral. Lineage: Bacteria; Bacillati; Bacillota; Bacilli.
UGAUGCAACGCGAAGAACCUUACCUACUCUUGACAUCCACGGAAUUUGGCAGAGAUGCNUUAGUGCCUUCGGGAACCGUGAGACAGGUGCUGCAUGGCUGUCGUCAGCUCGUGUUGUGAAAUGUUGGGUUAAGUCCCGCAACGAGCGCAACCCUUAUCCUUUGUUGCCAGCGAUUCGGUCGGGAACUCAAAGGAGACUGCCGGUGAUAAACCGGAGGAAGGUGGGGAUGACGUCAAGUCAUCAUGGCCCUUACGAGUAGGGCUACACACGUGCUACAAUGGCGCAUACAAAGAGAAGCGACCUCGCGAGAGCAAGCGGACCUCACAAAGUGCGUCGUAUCCGGAUCGGAGUGUGCUAAUCG